UUAAACUGAAUGUACGUUAGUUUCCUAAAGGAAACCGCGUUAUGUAAUAAAGACUACCAUGAUUAUUUUGAGGCUGUUGAAGUGGUAAUUGUUAAAAGUAUGUUUUACAUGUAAUAUUUCAGACUUGUUAAGCUCGUGUCUUCAUUGUCCCCGCACUGAGAGUUAAAGACACCUGCUCUUGUGAGGAGUCACGGACUGUGUGAGGAGGAGGCGUGUUCUCAGCUUCUUCUGAAGAGAGGGACAGACGGGUUUAAGAUGUUGAAAGCCAGAGACAUAGGAGAGCAUCAUUCUUUUGAGAUUUAUAACUCAAGCUAACUUUGGAGUUAAGGACACAGAAGCCUGCUUGUGUGAGGAGGAGGCGGUGUUCUCGGCUUCUGAAGAGAGGGAAAGAUAAUUUAAGCUGUUGAAAGCCAGAGACAUAGAACUCAAACCAACUUUGGAGUUGUCUGAUUUGGAGAGUCAUCAUUCUUGGUCUUCCCUCUUAAGGGAAUAGUUCACACAAAAAAUCAUUUAGUUGCCCUCAUGUCAUUCCAAACCUAUACGACUUUUGUCUGUCUUUAGAAUACAAAUGAAUAUAUUUAGAAUUUUCAGAGUUAUUGUAGAAGUAAUCCAUUCCGAUAUUUAUAUAUGAUUAAAUCUUAAAUUAUAUGAUAGCGAACAUGUCUGUUCAGAAGAAAAUAUUGGUCUCCCAGACUAGCAAUGGAGGACAAAAAUUAAUAGAAUAUUAAAUAUAUUUAUUUGUGUUCCAAAAAUUAGCAGAGUUUGUAUGGGUCUGGAACAACAUGGGGAGAGUAAAUUAUGACCAUUUUCAUUUUUUGGUGGACUAACCCUUUGAAGAGCAGCCCUCAACGUACAUGAACAUUUGUGAGGCCACUGAUGAAGAACAGGCGGUGACUGGGAUGAAUGCUGGUCAGAGAAGAGAAUGUCCUUUCCCCUAAACUGAUGAAGCAGUGGUUUUAAAGGAGGACGCUGCCCUGGGUGAUGUAGAAGAUGUCACAUGUGCUGAUGGGGGUUCCUCAUGACUACAUCAAUUAUGCUGAAGAGAUCAUGAAAGUUGACAGUGAUGCAUGAUCUGUAUUCAUGGACUGUGAAACAAACUGUAAGUGUAUAAUUUGUAAAAACAAAAUGUUAAGUGCUUGUUCUGUGUUGUUUAGUAAAAGAGUUUACACUCUGUCAUUCAUACACAUGCUCACAUUCUUUCACACACACGCGCGCAUCUGUUAAAUGUUAUAAUAUCAGUGUUAAUGUUGUGGUUUAUUUGUGUACUGUAAUGCUAGAAUAGUUGGUAAAGAACUUAACUAAUUGUACAUUUAUUGUAUAAUAGUGUGUUCGUAUAUUUUUAUACAAUAUAUAAAAUUUACCAAAGUCCAAUUUGAUCUUAAAAGUUAUAUUCAACAAAUGUUCAAUGCUUUAU
Cyprinus carpio carpio is the source of this 1414-nucleotide long non-coding RNA. Lineage: Eukaryota; Metazoa; Chordata; Actinopteri; Cypriniformes; Cyprinidae. The record is from Ensembl.